UGGGGAAUAUUGGACAAUGGGGGAAACCCUGAUCCAGCCAUCCCGCGUGUGCGAUGAAGGCCUUCGGGUUGUAAAGCACUUUUGGCAGGAAAGAAACGUCGCGGGUUAAUACCCCGCGAAACUGACGGUACCUGCAGAAUAAGCACCGGCUAACUACGUGCCAGCAGCCGCGGUAAUACGUAGGGUGCAAGCGUUAAUCGGAAUUACUGGGCGUAAAGCGUGCGCAGGCGGUUCGGAAAGAAAGAUGUGAAAUCCCAGAGCUUAACUUUGGGAACUGCAUUUUUAACUACCGGGGCUAGAGUGUGUCAGAGGGAGGUGGAAUUCCGCGUGUAGCAGUGAAAUGCGUAGAUAUGCGGAGGAACACCGAUGGCGAAGGCAGCCUCCUGGGGAUAACACUGACGCUCAUGCACGAAAGCGUGGGGAGCAAACAGGAUUAGAUACCCUGGUAGUCCACGCCCUAAACGAUGUCAACAGCUGUUGGGGGCCUUUCGGGCCUUGGUANCGCAGCUAACGCGUGAAGUUGGACCGCCUGGGGAGUACGGUCGCAAGAUUAAAACUCAAAGGAAUUGACGGGGGUCAUAGCUGUUUCCU
Molecule: ribosomal RNA, 591 nt
Filed under: uncultured bacterium
Lineage: Bacteria
Description: partial 16S ribosomal RNA
Rfam family: Bacterial small subunit ribosomal RNA
Source: RNAcentral